RNAcentral lists this long non-coding RNA (218 nucleotides) under Lathyrus oleraceus (garden pea). RNAcentral describes it as "Pisum sativum (pea) long non-coding RNA (PSAT_LNC004294)". The record is from RNAcentral. Lineage: Eukaryota; Viridiplantae; Streptophyta; Magnoliopsida; Fabales; Fabaceae.
UCUGAAAGUGAUUAAGCUUGAUCAUGUUGUUGUUUUUUGUUUUUCACUAGCUUAUGUUUUUUUUAGUUUAGUUCAAUUCUAGUUUUAUUUUCAGACUAUGUUACAAAUGUUGAUUUAUGUUAUGUUUGAAUUUUCUUGUGUGGUAUAUGAUGCUUAGUCUAUUUUGCUUGCAUGCUUGUUAUUUAUCUCUCUUUUUCACCCUUUUUGUUAAUGACAAA